Long non-coding RNA from Erpetoichthys calabaricus (reedfish), 86 nucleotides. RefSeq lists it as uncharacterized. Lineage: Eukaryota; Metazoa; Chordata; Cladistia; Polypteriformes; Polypteridae. The record is from RefSeq and is a predicted model, not a curated record. The transcript has 2 exons.
AGGAGGACUGAGCUUCAAGUGUGAGCACUGGCAAUGAAAAUUUUAAAAAGAAAAAAUGGAGCCUUUCUAGCUAAUUACAGAUUUGC